UUGCUUUAGCAGCAUAUAUACUAAAGUUGGAAUGAUACAGGAAAUAUUAGUAUGAUCCCAGCACAAAGAUGACAUGCAAAUUCAUGAAGCAUUCAAUAUUUUU
This is a small nuclear RNA of Gorilla gorilla gorilla (western lowland gorilla), 103 nucleotides long. Lineage: Eukaryota; Metazoa; Chordata; Mammalia; Primates; Hominidae. The record is from RefSeq and is a predicted model, not a curated record.